This 2255-nucleotide long non-coding RNA is filed under the name Homo sapiens (human). Its description in RNAcentral is "long non-coding RNA NONHSAT207888.1". The record is from RNAcentral. Lineage: Eukaryota; Metazoa; Chordata; Mammalia; Primates; Hominidae.
UUUCGGAGUGGAGUUUCCUAGCUGGUGCCUGUCCUCUCUUGAGCCUUUGUUUCUUGAGUGAGCACUCACUGGGGCUGUGGCUCCAUGAACUGGAUUUCAGGAAACCAGCCAAGGCAUUCUCUCUCUCUCUCCAUUCCUAGAAAGGCAGAAAGCCUGGGAAUGGGUUCGGCAGGAAGAUCUCUGUACCUCAAUCUCCAUUGCUUUCAGCACCACUGGCUUUCUCCCCAGCUCAAGUGCAAAACCUGCCAUCGUUGCUACCUGGGGUGCCUCAGACUCACCCAAGUCCCCCAGGCCAGAGGACAUGCUCUCAAGCCUUGUUUCAGAAAGAGGGACCCAAAGGCUGUUAGGGAAGAGAACCAGGGUCCUCAAACCCAGGGUUUUCUCACCCACUGCCUCUGCUCUGGCUGUGGCCUGCCAGACCUCUCCUCUGAUUUUCGCUUUCCUUCCUGCCAGUGCCUUUGUUUAUCCGAGGCGCCAAGAUCCCACUGUGAAGUCUGAAAGGAAGACCAGUGGUUCUCGCUUUUCCUCUAGAUGCUGUGUCUCCCAAUGUCAUCUUCUUUCCUCUCAAAGACAAUUGGACGUUGUUACAGAUUUUCUUGGAAUGAGGAAAUACCUAGCAGUGGGAUUGCUGGAUCAUAUGAAAAUGCCAGACUAUAUUUCAUCAGCAACAUCGGAGAGUUCCAGUUGCUCUACACCCUCACUAGCACUUAAUAUUGGUGAUCGCUGCCUGGAUUCACAGAAGGACAAAUUACAAUGCAUUUUGAAAGACUCGUCUACAGUCAACUAAAAUACCAGUUAUCACAGACUUCACUGGCCUUAAUGAGGAGGCUGAGAGGGAUUUAAUUACUGGGACAUGCAACGCUUACACCAAACUCUGUUCGAUUCACGACUUGGAAAAGCAAAUGUGGAUACAGAUGAGUGUGGACAUGGCUUCAGUAGGAAAUGUCGAGUUUGUUCAUCACUCUGAAGUUUCUUCAGCUGCAACGGAAACUGCACCCUCCCUCCCGACUUGUUGGUUAUCUUGCUGUGCUCCCAAGAAGGUAUUUUCUGCUGACCUGAUAGAUCAGGCCUUUGUCAUUUUGAUUGAAAAGAUGUUUACCUGUUGGUCCCCAGCCUCACUCUUCUGAACCUCAGAUCCACUGAGUGUGUAUCCAGAGGUAAGUAUGUGGUAAGUAUGCUUGUCAUUUACAUUAUCUGUCAGCAUGAGUAUUGGUUUCCUAGAAACCUAAUAUUGAAAACACUUAGCAUUGCUAAAAGCAUUAAAUGAAAUAAAGACUCAAUAUAGCUGCACUAAUCUGUGCUUUCUAAAUUUACUGAUGGACGUGAAGAAAGUAGGUUGGCAUGGAGUUUAUACAAUUUAUGGAUCACACUGAUCUGAAUUCAGACAGUGUGUGCUCAGAUAAAAAUAUUGUUUCCUCCCAUGAGGUUUCCAAUUUUGCAGAGAAGAAUACCUCUGUUUAGCUCAUUACUUAACACAAUGGGUAGCUGGGUGGCCUUGCAUUCUGGAAGUGAAAUGACACAAGAAUGUCUCCACUGCAUUCUCCAGAGGUAAAGAUUCUCUGGCACAAAAUCACAACCAAGGUGGGGUUCCAAAACUAUAGAACAAAUGGCAGCAGCCAUGCAGCCAGCCUUGGUUCGGGUGGGCUGUAAAAGCAGAGGUUGUCCUCGUGUUAUCAGCACUGACUUCCUGUUGUGGCCACACUGACAGAGAUGAGAUGGCAGAAAGCAGGAAAGAGACCAGAGCUGCAAUUGACAGAUGGCUGGCCAAAGUUGAAGGGUCAGAGACUACACCAAAGACUUCUCAGAAAAUACUUGCCUAGGAGGCUCUCACUUGGAAAGAUAUUCAGGGUUGUUAAACAUAUCCUGUUAUUAGGAAAACGAGAGUUUUAUCUUUCUCUUACUCAGAAAGAAAAAACAAAAAGAAAAUUAGUGCUCUUAAGAAAAGCUAUUUUAAUGUUAUCCAUUAUAAAAUUAGAAAACCUUGAAAGGCAAAUGUUUCUUCUGACCAUUUACACUGAGCUUCUUUCAUUAUCUCAUAUGCAACCUUGUGGAUUGAAGGUGGAGAGUCCUUAGGAUUACCCAGGAACAUCCCUGUCUGCUCCCCCUGCUAGGCAGGAGGAGAUUUGAAACCACAUGUGUCUACUUCAUUUCUGUCACGGGUAGGACAGUGUCAUAUACUUUGUAGGUAACUCAAAGAUAUUAUAGGUAACUCAUAGAUAUUGAUUGAAUUAAUGUUUAAUAAAAUGAGAACACCA